GGAUAUGGGUUUUGGUAUCGAUUCCCUUUUCUAAUUCAAGUUCUUGCGGAAGUCUCGUACAGAAUUGGCGUUCUAACUUUAUCUCAGCGGAUCUAUUUUUAUCAGAGUUUAGAAAAAUCCUCUAAUCACAAGUUGGAACCCGAUUUGCUUUCUUCCCUUCAGACUCCAGUUCAUGCAAAAAUACGAACAUAGCUUUCCUGUACCCAAGACCAAGAAACGAGCGUUUGGAGUUACCCUGUUCAGAAAAAUAAGCUGAACAUUUUCUUUUCAUUUUUGUCCAGGGCAUGCUUGAUCGUAUUACUCUUAAUUUAGCACAGUUCUAUGUUUAUUGGAAAAGUACCAGUUAAUCAGUAAGUCGGUUCACUUAGCUGAAAAUGACACUAAAGGUCUCAACAAGUGUUACUUGCUGCCCAAAAUCAGCAGUUUCCAAUUUUCUCCUCAAUUUCUGCAAGGAAAAGAAAGACGAUAGUUAUUUAGACCCGCCCCCUCCUUUUUCCAACUCCUCCCUCUUGAUUCCUGGGUGUUAUCUUAUCAAAUCGAGGUGAUUUUAGCUUCCCCUAAAGCAACGGGCUCAUCGCCCAUGCCCAUCCUCCUCGUCUCGUUAUCGUCUCCGUCAGCAGGUGAGAUAUCAUGCUUCCUCUCUGGUCUCGAUUUCGUGUUGCUAUUCUACUGUGUGUUGUAUGCCAAAACUUAUUGGAAAGCCACGUGGCUUGCAGCAGUCUGCACCCCACCAAGGUGUGGUGGCCGGUGGAGUUGACUUAUUAGCUCGCAUGCACUUGCUUAAUCGAUUCUGCAUGGCAGCGAUGAUUUAUGUUGGUUUUCCAUGACUAGGUGAUUGUCCGAUGGGUUAUGCAUCCAUGCGUGUAAAUAAUCAGGUUUCUGGCAAGGACACAUGACAUGAUUAUUUCUACUCCCGCAUGUACUCUGCUGUAUUUUAUACCAAGGAUGAAAGCUAGAGGUGGAUGCAAAUUUCUUGCUCAUGGGUUGUUAAUGAGGCAACCUUCAUGGUGAAUUUGUUUAAACAAUAGAACAAUAUUAAAUUCAUUCUAUGAAUUAAUAAGUAAAACAUCUUUUCUAUUCGAAUUGAAUCUAUCCAAGGAGCCUCUCGGGCAACAACAUCGUCUGCUUCUUGUUUCAAUUAUAAAGUUUGGGCUAUCUAAACCUGAAAAAUUCAGUGAUGUAUAUAUGCACAGUAUGAGUUUCACUAUUAUACUUGAAAAUGAUGAUGUGUUGUUCUUUCCCCUCUCGCACCUAUAAUUAUGAGUUCACUAAUUACUAUUCUUAUUCCAUUAUGUUCAGUAUCAAGCGGGUUUCUCUUGAUGUGUACAAUAGUCGAACAAAUUUUUUAUGCGUGUUGAUGCUGCAUGGAAGCAUUGGAAGCGAAAAAAACCCUUCACAUACCUAAAUGUAAGUGAAUCUCCCCGUCUUAAUUUAGGUUGACCUUGCAGUCUCGCUUACCCGUUCUGCUUCGCCCAUCGUUCAAUGUAGUUUAUGUUGAAUAGCUAGGUUGGUCCAUGAGAUCAUAUAUUGUACUACCGUUUAUUUAACCCAACUGCUACAUUGAAUAUUGAUAAUCUGAACACAAAAUGUUGCAAUUUUCAUUUUGAACUUUUCUGUGCAAGCGGAUAAAGCUAGGUCUGUACUUCUGGACCAAAACCAGUUUUGCAUGGUCAUUUCUUUAAAGAAAGGUUCAGAGCUUCUCAGAAGGAAAGGAAAAUACCACCUGAACUUUUAGCUUUCCACAUAUGUGUGAUCACUUGCUGAGUUUUCCACAUCAUAAGCUUUUCUUAUGAGUUUGUGGGAUUUUAGUUUUUUCAGGUCUCGCAGUUCUGAGAUUUAAUUCAUGUGCAACCGUCACAAACAGAUCUGUCUUGCAUUCUAAAUAUUGCAGCCUUGAACUUAUUUACAUUUCAGUUAACCUUUGUCCACAAGUGGCAGCCAGUUUUCUGAAUCUGUAAAUUGUAGUUGAAUUCUUAAUACAUCUAUGCCAUCUAUAGAAAAGCAUGACCUCCCGUGCCACUGUGCAACACCACAACGAUGAACAUCACUUGGCAAACAAGUCUCGAAUCAAUUUCGAUUUGCGAUGGUCUGCUCAGAGGGCGUUCUGGCGAUGUGUGGUGCUGUCCUAUUUAGUAGUGAUGUAUCUCUUCUACAAUCUUUUGGUAAUUUUGUAGAUUAGGAUGUUUAAUUCUUUUUCAAUGAUAGUUUAAUAGUAGUCAAGAUAUGGGAUCUGCAUGUCCAUUUUAUUUUAAUGCAUAUAUAUGUUUUUACUCUUAAUUACAUCUCUGGGAGUAUUAUGCCCAUUCAAGAAGCAAAAGCCAUAGCCUCUCCAACAAGGUUUUCAAUAUUAAGGGGGAAAUUUGAAGGUGUAUAAGGUAAAUAUGCAGAGCUCUAGGUAUAUUCCGUAAUAAAUUUUCUUUAUACAUUUCAUUAUAAUUAAAAAGGAAAUACGAAUGAGGUGCCUGUUGUCAGUUGCAAUCACAAAUCUAAGAAUCCCCCUUUAAAUGUAAUUGAUAAAUUGAUCAAAGAGUAAUUGUUUGCCUCCCUUCCCCCACUGCGUAGAGAGUGUGAGAACCACACAGCUAUAGGGCUAACCCUGAAUGAUUGCUUAUCAAUUUCAGCUACUACAAUUAUUGUGUAGAUUCAAGUAGUGUGUUGUAGUUACCAUGUCAUUUAUUUACACAAGAGAAGUUUUUGUGAAGCACCAGCGUAGGAUAGCUUUUGAAAGUUUUGGGAAGCCCUGAAGGACAUGUUUAGAAGUGGCUGCAUAGAUGGUAUGCAUAACAUUGCUUUGCAAACCUUUAGGAUGCUAGAUUGAAUCACUAGGAAGAAGACUAAUGGUGGCAUGAUAUUGUGUUCUGUCAUGCCCUCACUCCUUUUCCCUCUUGUCAACGGUACUACUUUCAGGUGAAAUACGCAGAGAACAAUUUGAAGGAGUACAUCCACGGAGACGAUGAUAUCCUACCAGUCAAGCUUGGAGAUGGACCACCAUCACGACGAUCGCUUCAUGCUUGGAACUGACAAGAGGGCCACCAUCACGACGAACUAAUCAUAGUUUCGCCACCACCCAAACAUCCAGCAAGGUGACAUCUGCACCUUCCUUUUCAAGCACAAGCAAGGGCGCUGCCUCUCUCUCUCAUGUGCACCGUCUCUAGACACACCACCGUCAGCGGCAUCUAUCGUCUAUACAUAUGAUCCAUGUAUGGUCUUUAGUUUCUCUCUUAUGACUUAAUAUGUCUAUGCUCUGAUGACCCAGUGAACUAUGUAUUUAGUUUCUCUCUAAGACUUAAUAUGCCUGUGCUCUGAUUAUCCAGUGAACUAUGUCUCUCUUUUGGAGAUCGCCCACCUUUGGGAGGAUGGUAGAGUUUGAUUUCAACCGAUCGCCAUGCUCUGUGAUACCUUUUAGAGGAUGUUGAGUUUGAUUUCAACAGAUCGCCAUGCUUUGUGAUCAGUCAUCCAUCUUGUAAGACUGUCACCUCCCUGUUAAAAUUGACAUGCGUGCUUUAUGAGCUAA
Triticum dicoccoides is the source of this 3514-nucleotide long non-coding RNA. RefSeq lists it as uncharacterized. Lineage: Eukaryota; Viridiplantae; Streptophyta; Magnoliopsida; Poales; Poaceae. The transcript has 2 exons. The record is from RefSeq and is a predicted model, not a curated record.